Long non-coding RNA from Saccostrea echinata, 313 nucleotides. RefSeq lists it as uncharacterized. NCBI's taxonomy places the organism in Eukaryota, Metazoa, Mollusca, Bivalvia, Ostreida, Ostreidae. The transcript has 2 exons. The record is from RefSeq and is a predicted model, not a curated record.
ACCCACGAACUACAAUGAACUUCAUCCAGCUUUUGUUGCUUCUUGUUUUGGUGCUACUGACCAUAUAUGUGAUGGGAUCAGUUGCCUCCCCCUGGAGAUGGCACAGAAGAUGGUCUGAUUCCAGCAGCGGUGGUUCCUGGAGCUGGAGUCGUGGAUAACUUAAUGGUAUUGCAGAAGAAAUUUGUUUUUAUUUAUUUUAAAGUAUAUCUUGAACUAAAUUUUGUUUUCAUACACACGUUCACAAUAUACUAUGUUUCUUAAUGAAAACAUUAGUUUUACUUAGUUGUUAUCAAUAAAAUGAAGUGUCAAGUCA